Raphanus sativus (radish) is the source of this 1195-nucleotide long non-coding RNA. RefSeq lists it as uncharacterized. NCBI's taxonomy places the organism in Eukaryota, Viridiplantae, Streptophyta, Magnoliopsida, Brassicales, Brassicaceae. The record is from RefSeq and is a predicted model, not a curated record. The transcript is spliced from 2 exons.
UAUUGCUUUUUUAGACAGAAAAAUAUACGUUCGAGAAAAAAAAAAGCGACAGAAGAGAAAAAAAGCGACAGAAGAGCGACUUCUUCAGGGCUCUGGUGUUUGGCUUCCUGCCAUCACCGGAAGCUCCCUUUCCCCUUUUUCUUUGUUUUGUUUUGCUUUUUUCCUUCCUCUCUUCAUAGAUAUCGAUAUGAUUGGUGUUCUGGUGGUGUAUCUUCGCGGCGGAACCCUAGAUCUGCUUCGGGGAGAGCUAGAUCCGGCCGUAUGAAGCUCUGAUCUGGAAUAUCAUCGAGGCGUCCAUGAGUUUGGAGGUAGACGAGUCGGCUUUUUAGGUUUGAUCCCGACAGAUCUCGUUUUCACUUUUGUAGAUCUGCUCGGGGUCAUCCGUGGUGGCAGCGCGUGAGGUAAGGGACGACUCUCUCUCAUGUUCUUCAAGGUUACAAAGCGGCGGUGGUCGUUUUGAAGUGGCGUUGUGCGCCGGGAGUGGUACGGUUGGCUUCCUUUUGACUUGAGACUUGGUGUCUUGUCUCGGGAAUGGGGUUUGCUACUGUUCAAGGGAGGUGGCAGUUGUGGUUGUCGGUGCGCGCCCAGUCCUUUUGGCGGUCGUGUGUCUGCGAGAUGUCUUGGGUGUUGUGAUUGCUUGCUGUCCGUUUCCUUUUCCGUGAAUGCGUCUGGUAAGUUUCGGUUAGUAAGGCUUUGUCUUCGUGGGGUUUUGGUUGAGCUUCUAUCUAGGACUAAAUGGACGAUUAUGAUUGCGUCGCAUCCGUAUCCGAAGGUUGAGUUGAUCGAGUUUCGAUCCUUCUUGUCGGGUUAUGAAGUCUCAGGUUCUUGGGCGUUAUUGUUGGCGUGCGUAGGCAGCAGCAAUAAGUCGUGGUGUGGGUGUAAGAAGUGGAAGUUAUCGUGUGGCGGGGCUAUGUGCAGCAACGGUAUUUCCCGAUCAUUGGCAUGGGUUUAUUUCUUAUGUCUGAUGAGUUGAUAUGUUCCAGUUUCGAAUGUAGUAGUUAAUCGUUGUCCAGGGUUUUGUUGCGGUUUUAGUCUUUAUGUUGUGUUUCAGUAAGUUGCCCCGGUGUGGGUUCUAGUUGCCGCUUUCUAUGGGCUCUUGUUUCUGGGGCUAUCCUGUUAGACCGCCAGCUUAUGUAUGAACUCUUGUAUUUCAGUUUGGGAUGAAUAUCACGAAAAAAAAAGACAGAAAAAUAUA